GACGAACGCUGGCGGCGUGCUUAACACAUGCAAGUCGAACGGAAAGGCCCUGCUUUUGUGGGGUGCUCGAGUGGCGAACGGGUGAGUAACACGUGAGUAACCUGCCCUUGACUUUGGGAUAACUUCAGGAAACUGGGGCUAAUACUGGAUAGGAGCUCCUGCUGCAUGGUGGGGGUUGGAAAGUUUCGGCGGUUGGGGAUGGACUCGCGGCUUAUCAGCUUGUUGGUGGGGUAGUGGCUUACCAAGGCUUUGACGGGUAGCCGGCCUGAGAGGGUGACCGGCCACAUUGGGACUGAGAUACGGCCCAGACUCCUACGGGAGGCAGCAGUGGGGAAUAUUGCACAAUGGGCGGAAGCCUGAUGCAGCAACGCCGCGUGCGGGAUGACGGCCUUCGGGUUGUAAACCGCUUUCGCCUGUGACGAAGCGUGAGUGACGGUAAUGGGUAAAGAAGCACCGGCUAACUACGUGCCAGCAGCCGCGGUGAUACGUAGGGUGCGAGCGUUGUCCGGAUUUAUUGGGCGUAAAGGGCUCGUAGGUGGUUGAUCGCGUCGGAAGUGUAAUCUUGGGGCUUAACCCUGAGCGUGCUUUCGAUACGGGUUGACUUGAGGAAGGUAGGGGAGAAUGGAAUUCCUGGUGGAGCGGUGGAAUGCGCAGAUAUCAGGAGGAACACCAGUGGCGAAGGCGGUUCUCUGGGCCUUUCCUGACGCUGAGGAGCGAAAGCGUGGGGAGCGAACAGGCUUAGAUACCCUGGUAGUCCACGCUGUAAACGGUGGGUACUAGGUGUGGGGUCCAUUCCACGGGUUCCGUGCCGUAGCUAACGCUUUAAGUACCCCGCCUGGGGAGUACGGCCGCAAGGCUAAAACUCAAAGGAAUUGACGGGGCCCCGCACAAGCGGCGGAGCAUGCGGAUUAAUUCGAUGCAACGCGUAGAACCUUACCUGGGUUUGACAUGGAUCGGGAGUGCUCAGAGAUGGGUGUGCCUCUUUUGGGGUCGGUUCACAGGUGGUGCAUGGCUGUCGUCAGCUCGUGUCGUGAGAUGUUGGGUUAAGUCCCGCAACGAGCGCAACCCUUGUUCACUGUUGCCAGCACGUUAUGGUGGGGACUCAGUGGAGACCGCCGGGGUCAACUCGGAGGAAGGUGGGGAUGACGUCAAGUCAUCAUGCCCCUUAUGUCCAGGGCUUCACGCAUGCUACAAUGGCUGGUACAGAGAGUGGCGAGCCUGUGAGGGUGAGCGAAUCUCGGAAAGCCGGUCUCAGUUCGGAUUGGGGUCUGCAACUCGACCUCAUGAAGUCGGAGUCGCUAGUAAUCGCAGAUCAGCAACGCUGCGGUGAAUACGUUCCCGGG
Molecule: ribosomal RNA, 1343 nt
Filed under: uncultured bacterium
Lineage: Bacteria
Description: 16S ribosomal RNA
Rfam family: Bacterial small subunit ribosomal RNA
Source: RNAcentral